Acinonyx jubatus (cheetah) is the source of this 800-nucleotide long non-coding RNA. RefSeq lists it as uncharacterized. The record is from RefSeq and is a predicted model, not a curated record. NCBI's taxonomy places the organism in Eukaryota, Metazoa, Chordata, Mammalia, Carnivora, Felidae. The transcript has 3 exons.
GGCGGAUCCGCGGCGGGUGGGAGGGGUCGGCCAGUGGCUGCCCCCGGGACGCAGUGGGAGCAAAGCUGCUGACUCUGGGUUCCAUUGACCUGCGAGAGCUGGACCUCUCCCUGGGAUCCGGAAACAGAAAGUUGCUUCCCAACUCAGAAUGUCCAGAUCUGCUAGGGGAUCAGAAUCACCUGAUUAGAGACCAGAAUCUGAUUUAGAAACCCAGACCCCAGGUAUCCACUUCUGGCCUGCUAAAUCAAAAUCUGCGCAGCGAGGACCCAGAAUCUGGAUUUAACCAGAUGUUAUAGAAGGUGCUACUUAAAAUCAUCGGCAUGAUAGGAUUGGCUGCAGAGAAAAUGGUUUGUAGAGUAAAGAGGACAGACGUUUUUCGGGAUACCUGCGGAGAAAGAUUUUGAAGCUGAUAGCAAAAGGAAUAUCCCAGUUUUUCCUGAGCACAUAUCUUUUGAAGAAAGAUUAUCUCCUGCCUACUAUCAGAAGCUGACACUACAGGCUUUCUUCUGCUAUUUGAUGGCUGGUUGUUCUCUACUCCCACUUUCCACCAUUAAUUACUUCGAUGAUCAUAAAAAAGAAACCUGUUGUUCUCCUUGCUGGCUGUCCUGGUGCUGGGUCUGGGUCUGCCAUGCGCUGAGGAUGAUCUGGCUCCAGAUAUCAACACUAUCACUUCCUGCUUAGACACGAUAUUUGACUAAUUUGUGUGUUUCAGCUUCUUUGGUUUAUAAUACAAAACCGAAUACCAGAAAGGACAGAACUUUAUAGAAGGAGAAAUCUGGAGAUCUGUAGAAGGUCCUUCU